Molecule: ribosomal RNA, 203 nt
Filed under: uncultured bacterium
Lineage: Bacteria
Description: partial 16S ribosomal RNA
Rfam family: Bacterial small subunit ribosomal RNA
Source: RNAcentral
GCGUCCCUCCGCGCCGACUCAGACGUACCUACCGGGACGGGCGACGCGAGUGGGGAAUUUUGCGCAAUGGGGAAACCCUGACGCAGCAACGCCGCGUGGAGGAUGAAAUCCCUUGGGAUGUAAACUCCUUUCGACGGGGACGAUGAUGACGGUACCCGUAGAAGAAGCCCCGGCUAACUUCGUGCCAGCAGCCGCGGUAAUAC